RNAcentral lists this small nucleolar RNA (141 nucleotides) under Gossypium hirsutum (cotton). RNAcentral describes it as "Plant small nucleolar RNA R71". It matches the Rfam family "Plant small nucleolar RNA R71". Rfam says of the family: R71 is a member of the C/D box family of snoRNAs containing the C (UGAUGA) and D (CUGA) box motifs. Multiple nearly identical copies of this snoRNA have been identified in Arabidopsis, and it is thought to function as a 2'-O-ribose methylation guide for 18S ribosomal RNA. Lineage: Eukaryota; Viridiplantae; Streptophyta; Magnoliopsida; Malvales; Malvaceae. The record is from Rfam by way of RNAcentral.
AUGCCAUGAUGAGGGCACUUUUGUAAUAACUCCUUGAACCACUCCCAUGCCUCAUAUAAAGAUUCUUCGUAACCGCUCCCACACUUCAUAUAAAGAUUCUUCAUCAAGUUGUUGAAAUGAAGUGAUUUCAUUUUGGAUCUU